UACGGGGGGGGCAAGCGUUGUUCGGAAUUACUGGGCGUAAAGGGCGCGUAGGCGGCCUUCUAAGUCGGACGUGAAAUCCCUCGGCUCAACCGAGGAACUGCGUCCGAUACUGAAAGGCUUGAAUCCGGGAGAGGGAUGUGGAAUUCCAGGUGUAGCGGUGAAAUGCGUAGAUAUCUGGAGGAACACCGGUGGCGAAGGCGGCAUCCUGGACCGGCAUUGACGCUGAGGCGCGAAAGCUAGGGGAGCGAACAGG
This 253-nucleotide ribosomal RNA is filed under the name uncultured bacterium. RNAcentral describes it as "partial 16S ribosomal RNA". It matches the Rfam family "Bacterial small subunit ribosomal RNA", at positions 524 to 776 of the family's 1533-position model. The record is from RNAcentral.